AUUGAACGCUGGCGGCAGGCCUAACACAUGCAAGUCGAAUGGUAACAGGAAACAGCUUGCUGUUUCGCUGACGAGUGGCGGACGGGUGAGUAAUGUCUGGGAAACUGCCUGAUGGAGGGGGAUAACUACUGGAAACGGUAUCUAAUACCUCAUAACGUCGCAAGACCAAAGAGGGGGACCUUCGGGCCUCUUGCCAUCAGAUGUGCCCAGAUGGGAUUAGCUAGUAGGUGGGGUAACGGCUCACCUAGGCGACGAUCCCUAGCUGGUCUGAGAGGAUGACCAGCCACACUGGAACUGAGACACGGUCCAGACUCCUACGGGAGGCAGCAGUGGGGAAUAUUGCACAAUGGGCGCAAGCCUGAUGCAGACAUGCCGCGUGUAUGAAGAAGGCCUUCGGGUUGUAAAGUACUUUCAGCGGGGAGGAAGGGAGUAAAGUUAAUACCUUUGCUCAUUGACGUUACCCGCAGAAGAAGCACCGGCUAACUCCGUG
Molecule: ribosomal RNA, 490 nt
Filed under: uncultured bacterium
Lineage: Bacteria
Description: partial 16S ribosomal RNA
Rfam family: Bacterial small subunit ribosomal RNA
Source: RNAcentral